Medicago truncatula (barrel medic) is the source of this 269-nucleotide microRNA precursor. It matches the Rfam family "MIR2655 microRNA precursor family". NCBI's taxonomy places the organism in Eukaryota, Viridiplantae, Streptophyta, Magnoliopsida, Fabales, Fabaceae. The record is from Rfam.
CUCAUAAGUAAUAAAAUGUCCGUUUAGGUCCCUUAACUUUAUUUAAAGUGUCAGUUUGGUCCUUUCUGUUAAUUUAAUUCAAAAAAACGUUAAGUUUAUGGACCAAACUAAUACUAAUUAAAAAAGUUAAGGGACCAAACUAAUACUAAUUAAAUAAGUUAAGGGACCAAAAUUUAACUUCUUUUUUUGCAUUAAAUUAACAUAAGGGAUCAAACCGAUACUUGAAAUAAAGUUAAGGGACCAAAAUAAACCUUUUAUUACUUAUGAGA